AGGAAAGCAAGUUUUGACACAGCAGAAUUGAGAAGCACGAAGCUGCCAGGAAACCAGAGGCAGAAAUUUCUUCUUUGCAAUUGAUUCUUUCAGGACGCUAUCCCAAGUUUCUGCCACUUCAGUUCCUGUUAUCAUGCUUUGAGGUGCACUGAACUGCAGCAAACCCAGGGGAUCCAAGGCCAUGUUGAAAAGCCUUUGACCGCAGUGCAGGGAGCAGAAGACAUUAAUGACGUGAUGUCGACACAGCCCGCACUCAGGAUCCUCCAGGAGAAGAACACAGAGAUAACCCCGGAUCAAUGGUACUUUUUGAAAAUGCUUUACUGCGAAAGAGUGGCUAGGGUUUUACAAGGGCUAUGAAGAAACAUAUUUAGGUUAAUAAAGCUUUUUAUUGAGUGUUUA
Long non-coding RNA from Cercocebus atys (sooty mangabey), 399 nucleotides. RefSeq lists it as uncharacterized. Lineage: Eukaryota; Metazoa; Chordata; Mammalia; Primates; Cercopithecidae. The transcript is spliced from 2 exons. The record is from RefSeq and is a predicted model, not a curated record.